CAGAUUACCUCAUUUCCUCCUCGCGCUGUCUGGGAGAGCUGAGCACUAAGGCAGGAGUUAUCACAGGAAUCACAGAGGAUGGAGUUCAGAGAGACCAUGGAAAUGGACUUCUUUGGGGUAGCGGAUCUACAGCACUGGCGCUGCCGUGCUUGAACAAUCCACCCACGUUAGACCCUGUUGAUCAUCAAGCUUUCUGUCUUGAGGCAUCUCCUCGACUCACUGCUCCAGUUUCAUCAGUGUUGGCAUAUAAGAUCAGACCCACCAAGCCUGCGAACUUGGAAGGAUGACUUCUCAAAGCUGCAGGUAGGAUCAGAACUAGAACUUGGAUUAUCUGCUACCCAAAAUAUCUUUUCACUCUCUCUUUUGAAUGCAUGCUUCCUGAAGAUAAGCACAACUUCCUUUUUCCCUUGGGAUUUUAGUAGUAGUAGUAGUAGUAGUCUUGGUAUUUAUUAGUAUUCAAUCAACAUUAAGUUUGAUUCCUAUUCCGCACCUGUCCACCCAGUCCUGAGUUCAGAACAGACGGCUGUUCUCUGCCCUCUGGAAGUAACUCUGCACCACACCCAGCUCCCCCUCUGCCUUUGUGUCCUUCCUCCUAUGGUUUUAAUUGCUGUAAAUGCCCUUUUUGCUUCUUCUCCAGGAUGCUGUGCUCAAAAUUCACCAGGAUUCCAGCUUCAUCUUUAUGUAGGAUCGUCUUCUCAAACAAACAUCAACGUCUGCUCUCUCUAUCUGAUAUUUUCUAACAUUUUGUUCCACACCAAGAUUUUCAUUUGACUACUUGUGCACCUGCCUGUCGGCCCCACCAGACUGCAAGCACAGAAUCUGGAACACAUGUUUUACUUGCUGAUGAAUUGAAGGUGCCUGGGAUUCCAGAGGCUCCAGAUAAAUUCUAGUCAGAUUAAAUCUAGUUCCUAGGAGGUUCACAAUACAAUUUUAAUAUCAUAUCAUUUAAAGUUGGAAGGGGUCUUAGAGAUUCUGUGAUCCAAGAUGGGAAAUAGGUUUUACUUUAAGGCUAGUCCCAAUCCAAUCAUAGGGACUGCCCGACCAGCAUAGUUAGACAGAGGCAAGAUCCUGCUUUAGCUGGAAAGAGAGCUGCACUUGUUUUGCGAAGUUGGCCAGAAGUGAUAGAGGAGGAGGUAGCAAAGCGUGUGUCUCCUCUGCCAUCGAAGAUUCAGUUCACUCCUUCCCAGUUUAUUUUAAAGCCUGCAUGCUAUGGUGGGUGAGGAGAAUUUGGACUGUCACUCCGAAUUUGAAUGCUCUGCCAAACCUCAUCCUCCAAGAACUUCGAUUUCACGGUGUGUGAGAUGAGCACACCCGUUCUGCCUCUUCCCUCCUCCCCAGCUCCUUGUGGUCCUGAAAGUAUUUUACAAAACCAUGAAGCAGUGUAUCAAUGCAUGGUGAUCCCAUCCCAUAGGGCUCUUCCUCAGCAACCUCAGAAAGAGAGAAUUCAAUCCUAAAAAUAUGAUAUCCUAUGAUGGAAGCCGGCCCCUUCUGGAUCUCCCCAGUCCCAUGCUCUCCCGAGGCUUCCUUCUAUUCCUGCAGUAAACCUCUUCCCAGCUUUCGGCCUUUGCUCCUGCAGCUUAGCAAUGCCCCCUGUGCCCAAAACUUCCACAAACUCAAGGGAAUCCUGAUCUAGCUCUGAAUAAAGAAGUUAAUGAAAACUGAACUCAUCCAGUUUCCAGAGACACAGGCCAGAGGAAAAAAAAAAAAAAAAAAAUAUAUAUAUAUAUAUAUAUAUUUUUUAAAUGAUGAAUAUGAGCCAGUAAUUGAGAUUACUUAUUAGUGUCUGGUCCCACACACCCAGCUCUUCCCUGAGCUGCUCAACCCUUCUUCCCACACUCAUUCCCUACACACUUUCCUUAAAGCUCCAUUAAGCAGGUCACCAUGUCCCCACCUGUUCCCACACCAGCCCUCCUCCACCUCCUCUCUCUCUCUUCUCCAUAGCACUUACCACUGUAUGGAAGUGUUACAGCUAUGUACCUGCUAAAUGUUUACCACUUAUCUUCAUCUUCUAGAACUCAAGCACCACGAGGGAAAACACGCUGUUCCUCCUGUGUGCUGCUGUUUCCCCAUGGCUAGGAGUGAUUACGAAAGGCGCUCGAUACGAACACAUUUGCUAAAUGA
Molecule: long non-coding RNA, 2121 nt
Filed under: Marmota monax (woodchuck)
Lineage: Eukaryota; Metazoa; Chordata; Mammalia; Rodentia; Sciuridae
Source: RNAcentral